AUUUUACAGCUAUAAAGUUUUAUUAAAUUUUUAAUGGGUGAAACUUUAAAUGCUGUUUAGCUGGGGCGGCGUGAAUAUAAAAUUUAUCUGUUCUUAUGUUUGCUGUACUUUAUAAUUAAUUUUAAAUCCUUAAAAUGUGAAAUUAGAAUAAAUU
Molecule: ribosomal RNA, 154 nt
Filed under: Ogyrides orientalis
Lineage: Eukaryota; Metazoa; Arthropoda; Malacostraca; Decapoda; Ogyrididae
Description: partial 16S rRNA
Source: RNAcentral